Molecule: ribosomal RNA, 460 nt
Filed under: uncultured bacterium
Lineage: Bacteria
Description: partial 16S ribosomal RNA
Rfam family: Bacterial small subunit ribosomal RNA
Source: RNAcentral
CCUACGGGAGGCAGCAGUGAGGAAUAUUGGUCAAUGGGCUUACGCCUGAACCAGCCAAGUCGCGUGAGGGAAGACUGCCCUAUGGGUUGUAAACCUCUUUUGUCAGGGAGCAACGCCGGCUACGUGUAGCCGGACUGAGAGUACCUGAAGAAAAAGCAUCGGCUAACUCCGUGCCAGCAGCCGCGGUAAUACGGAGGAUGCGAGCGUUAUCCGGAUUUAUUGGGUUUAAAGGGUGCGUAGGCGGAAUGCCAAGUCAGCGGUAAAAUCGCGGGGCUCAACCUCGCGCCGCCGUUGAAACUGGCGGUCUUGAGUGGGCGAGAAGUAUGCGGAAUGCGUGGUGUAGCGGUGAAAUGCAUAGAUAUCACGCAGAACUCCGAUUGCGAAGGCAGCAUACCGGCGCCCAACUGACGCUGAGGCACGAAAGCGUGGGUAUCGAACAGGAUUAGAUACCCCAGUAGUC